GCGGAGGAAAAGAAACCAACAGGGAUUGCCCCAGUAACGGCGAGUGAAGCGGCAAGAGCUCAAAUUUGAAAGCUGGCUCCUUCGGGGUCCGCAUUGUAAUUUGCAGAGGAUGCUUCGGGAGCGGUCCCCAUCUAAGUGCCCUGGAACGGGACGUCAUAGAGGGUGAGAAUCCCGUAUGGGAUGGGGUGUCCGCGCCCGUGUGAAGCUCCUUCGACGAGUCGAGUUGUUUGGGAAUGCAGCUCUAAAUGGGUGGUAAAUUUCAUCUAAAGCUAAAUAUUGGCCGGAGACCGAUAGCGCACAAGUAGAGUGAUCGAAAGAUGAAAAGCACUUUGAAAAGAGAGUUAAAAAGCACGUGAAAUUGUUGAAAGGGAAGCGCUUGCGACCAGACUCGCUCGCGGGGUUCAGCCGGCAUUCGUGCCGGUGUAUUUCCCCGCGGGCGGGCCAGCGUCGGUUUGGGCGGUCGGUCAAAGGCCCUCGGAAGGUAACGCCCCUAGGGGCGUCUUAUAGCCGAGGGUGCAAUGCGACCUGCCUAGACCGAGGAACGCGCUUCGGCUCGGACGCUGGCAUAAUGGUCGUAAGCGACCCGUCUUGA
RNAcentral lists this ribosomal RNA (592 nucleotides) under Penicillium crustosum. RNAcentral describes it as "partial large subunit ribosomal RNA". It matches the Rfam family "Eukaryotic large subunit ribosomal RNA", at positions 50 to 657 of the family's 3401-position model. The record is from RNAcentral. Lineage: Eukaryota; Fungi; Ascomycota; Eurotiomycetes; Eurotiales; Aspergillaceae.